CGAGCGAACUGAUUAGAAGCUUGCUUCUAUGACGUUAGCGGCGGACGGGUGAGUAACACGUGGGCAACCUGCCUGUAAGACUGGGAUAACUUCGGGAAACCGAAGCUAAUACCGGAUAGGAUCUUCUCCUUCAUGGGAGAUGAUUGAAAGAUGGUUUCGGCUAUCACUUACAGAUGGGCCCGCGGUGCAUUAGCUAGUUGGUGAGGUAACGGCUCACCAAGGCAACGAUGCAUAGCCGACCUGAGAGGGUGAUCGGCCACACUGGGACUGAGACACGGCCCAGACUCCUACGGGAGGCAGCAGUAGGGAAUCUUCCGCAAUGGACGAAAGUCUGACGGAGCAACGCCGCGUGAGUGAUGAAGGCUUUCGGGUCGUAAAACUCUGUUGUUAGGGAAGAACAAGUACGAGAGUAACUGCUCGUACCUUGACGGUACCUAACCAGAAAGCCACGGCUAACUACGUGCCAGCAGCCGCGGUAAUACGUAGGUGGCAAGCGUUAUCCGGAAUUAUUGGGCGUAAAGCGCGCGCAGGCGGUUUCUUAAGUCUGAUGUGAAAGCCCACGGCUCAACCGUGGAGGGUCAUUGGAAACUGGGGAACUUGAGUGCAGAAGAGAAAAGCGGAAUUCCACGUGUAGCGGUGAAAUGCGUAGAGAUGUGGAGGAACACCAGUGGCGAAGGCGGCUUUUUGGUCUGUAACUGACGCUG
Molecule: ribosomal RNA, 704 nt
Filed under: Bacillus sp. 17854
Lineage: Bacteria; Bacillati; Bacillota; Bacilli; Caryophanales; Bacillaceae
Description: bacterial SSU rRNA
Rfam family: Bacterial small subunit ribosomal RNA
Source: RNAcentral